Molecule: ribosomal RNA, 498 nt
Filed under: uncultured bacterium
Lineage: Bacteria
Description: partial 16S ribosomal RNA
Rfam family: Bacterial small subunit ribosomal RNA
Source: RNAcentral
AUUGAACGCUGGCGGCAUGCCUUACACAUGCAAGUCGAACGGUAACAGGUCUUCGGAUGCUGACGAGUGGCGAACGGGUGAGUAAUACAUCGGAACGUGCCUAGUAGUGGGGGAUAACUACUCGAAAGAGUGGCUAAUACCGCGUGAGAUCUACGGAUGAAAGCGGGGGAUCGCAAGACCUUGUGCUACUAGAGCGGCCGAUGGCAGAUUAGGUAGUUGGUGGGAUAAAAGCUUACCAAGCCGACGAUCUGUAGCUGGUCUGAGAGGACGAUCAGCCACACUGGGACUGAGACACGGCCCAGACUCCGACGGGAGGCAGCAGUGGGGAAUUUUGGACAAUGGGCGCAAGCCUGAUCCAGCAAUGCCGCGUGCAGGAUGAAGGCCUUCGGGUUGUAAACUGCUUUUGUACGGAACGAAAAGCCCCGGGUUAAUACCCUGGGGUCAUGACGGUACCGUAAGAAUAAGCACCGGCUAACUACGUGCCAGCCGCCGCGGUAA